Molecule: ribosomal RNA, 730 nt
Filed under: bacterium SCSIO13305
Lineage: Bacteria
Description: bacterial SSU rRNA
Rfam family: Bacterial small subunit ribosomal RNA
Source: RNAcentral
CAGCUUGCUGGGUUGAUUAGUGGCGAACGGGUGAGUAACACGUGAGUAACCUGCCCAUCACUCUGGGAUAACUCCGGGAAACCGGUGCUAAUACCGGGUAUGACUCCGAUCCGCAUGGGUACGGGGUGGAAAGAUUUAUCGGUGGUGGAUGGACUCGCGGCCUAUCAGCUUGUUGGUGGGGUAAUGGCCUACCAAGGCGACGACGGGUAGCCGGCCUGAGAGGGUGACCGGCCACACUGGGACUGAGACACGGCCCAGACUCCUACGGGAGGCAGCAGUGGGGAAUAUUGCACAAUGGGCGGAAGCCUGAUGCAGCGACGCCGCGUGCGGGAUGACGGCCUUCGGGUUGUAAACCGCUUUCAGCUCUGACGAAGCUUUUGUGACGGUAGGAGCAGAAGAAGCACCGGCUAACUACGUGCCAGCAGCCGCGGUAAUACGUAGGGUGCGAGCGUUGUCCGGAAUUAUUGGGCGUAAAGAGCUUGUAGGCGGCUUGUCGCGUCUGCUGUGAAAGCCCGGGGCUUAACCCCGGGUCUGCAGUGGGUACGGGCAGGCUAGAGUGUGGUAGGGGAGACUGGAAUUCCUGGUGUAGCGGUGGAAUGCGCAGAUAUCAGGAGGAACACCGAUGGCGAAGGCAGGUCUCUGGGCCAUUACUGACGCUGAGAAGCGAAAGCGUGGGGAGCGAACAGGAUUAGAUACCCUGGUAGUCCACGCCGUAAACGUUGGGCGCUAG